AGUGAACGCUGGCGGUAGGCCUAACACAUGCAAGUCGAACGGCAGCACAGUAAGAGCUUGCUCUUACGGGUGGCGAGUGGCGGACGGGUGAGGAAUACAUCGGAAUCUACUUUUUCGGGGGGGAUAACGUAGGGAAACUUACGCUAAUACCGCAUACGACCUACGGGUGAAAGCAGGGGAUCUUCGGACCUUGCGCGAUUGAAUGAGCCGAUGUCGGAUUAGCUAGUUGGCGGGGUAAAGGCCCACCAAGGCGACGAUCCGUAGCUGGUCUGAGAGGAUGAUCAGCCACACUGGAACUGAGACACGGUCCAGACUCCUACGGGAGGCAGCAGUGGGGAAUAUUGGACAAUGGGCGCAAGCCUGAUCCAGCAAUACCGCGUGGGUGAAGAAGGCCUUCGGGUUGUAAAGCCCUUUUGUUGGGAAAGAAAAGCAGCAGGUUAAUACCCCGCUGUUCUGACGGUACCCAAAGAAUAAGCACCGGCUAACUUCGUG
Molecule: ribosomal RNA, 492 nt
Filed under: uncultured bacterium
Lineage: Bacteria
Description: partial 16S ribosomal RNA
Rfam family: Bacterial small subunit ribosomal RNA
Source: RNAcentral